Molecule: transfer RNA, 72 nt
Filed under: Camelus dromedarius (Arabian camel)
Lineage: Eukaryota; Metazoa; Chordata; Mammalia; Artiodactyla; Camelidae
Also listed under: 1 other name
Rfam family: tRNA
About the family: Transfer RNA (tRNA) molecules are approximately 80 nucleotides in length. Their secondary structure includes four short double-helical elements and three loops (D, anti-codon, and T loops). Further hydrogen bonds mediate the characteristic L-shaped molecular structure. tRNAs have two regions of fundamental functional importance: the anti-codon, which is responsible for specific mRNA codon recognition, and the 3' end, to which the tRNAs corresponding amino acid is attached (by aminoacyl-tRNA synthetases). tRNAs cope with the degeneracy of the genetic code in two manners: having more than one tRNA (with a specific anti-codon) for a particular amino acid; and 'wobble' base-pairing, i.e. permitting non-standard base-pairing at the 3rd anti-codon position.
Source: Rfam by way of RNAcentral
GGAGGUAGAGCUCAGUGGUAGAGUGAGUGCCCAGCAUGCACGAGGUCCUGGGUUCAAUCCUCAGUACCGCUA